This 1646-nucleotide long non-coding RNA is filed under the name Rattus norvegicus (Norway rat). RNAcentral's name for it is "long non-coding RNA NONRATT031475". Lineage: Eukaryota; Metazoa; Chordata; Mammalia; Rodentia; Muridae. The record is from RNAcentral.
UUCACUUAGGACAAUAAUAAAGUUCAUAUGCAAUAUAUUGUCUUCCUUAUUUAUUUAUUUUUAAAUUUUUACUUAUUUACUUUUGCAUAUGUAUGUAUUAUGUAUGUAUGUGUGUAUGUAUGUAUUAUGUCUGUAUGUAUUAUGUAUGUAUGUAUGUGUGAUGUAUGUAUGUGUAUAUGUAUGUAUAUAUGUGUGUAUGUAUGUCUGUAUGUAUGCAUGUGUGCAUGUGUGUAUGAUGGGUUCAUGCCUGCUGUGGCGUACAUAUGGAAGUUAGAGGAUAACUUAUGUGAGUUGGUUCUUUCCUUCUACCAUGAGGUGCUCAGGACUAAACUCAGGUCAUUGGGUUGGGUAGUAAUAUCAUUUACCUACUAUGUCAUUUCUCUGGCCCCUUAUCUUUAAUUAUUGUAUAAUAUUUUCUAUUAAAUUAGUUCUUUAUUUAUGGAAAAUUAAAUUGUUUCCCACGGUCUGCAGUUAUAAAAACUGUUAAGAUAAAUAUUCAUCAUGCGUAUGCCAUCUGGAAUAUUUUUGGGGUCUUUCCUACAACUAUUGUAAACCUGUAUGUAUUUUCCACUAGGUUGAUAUGGAGGUGACCCUCCCAGGUGAGGGCAAGGACCAAACGUUCAAAGUGUCAGUGCAAUGGGUGUCAGUUGUGAGCCUUCAGCUGCUUUUAGAAGCUUUAGCUGGACACCUGAGUGAAGUCCCAGAUGACUCAGUACAAGCCCUUGACGUGAUUACAAGGCAUCUCCCCUCUAUGAGGUACACUCCAGUAGGCCGGUCUUUUUUCUCACCUCCUGAAGGUUACUACCACCCUCUGGGAGGGGGCAGAGAGGUCUGGUUCGGCUUUCACCAGUCUGUGCGCCCUGCCAUGUGGAAGAUGAUGCUCAACAUUGAUGGUGGGUUGGAGCUCCAUCUGCUAACUCUGGUUUUUGGUCGAUUAGUUUGGGCCCUUCACUUUGCCUUGAUGCUAAGUAUCCUUUCUCUGCUUGUUAGUAUCUGCAACUGCUUUCUACCGGGCUCAGCCCAUCAUUGAGUUCAUGUGUGAGGUUUUAGACAUCCAGAACAUCAACGAGCAGACGAAACCUCUAACAGACUCCCAGCGUGUCAAGUUUACCAAAGAAAUCAGGGGUAGGUAUUCCUGGUAAUGUCAUUGUGGCAUGAGUGUAACACAGUAAGAUCAUCUGGGCUUGAGCCACAUAGACCUGGGUUGCCUUCCUAGCCUACAUAGUCCCAGCAAGUGGGACCCUGUGUUAGCCAUAAAGUCAGUAUACACUCAGACUUGGAAAUACACACCAGAGCAUACUGAUACUUAAACAAACUUACUGAAUGAACUAGUAAGGUCAGUUAUGUAGCCAGGCAUGGUAUUGCAUGCCUGCAGCCUCAGCAAUCGUGAAACUGUGACCAGAAGAUCACAAGAUCGAGGCUAAUCUGAGCCAUGUAGAAGAUCCUGUCUCAAAAAAAAAAAAAAUUGGUUGAACAUCUUAGAUCAUCCGGGACCUAAUUUAGAGCUUACUUAGCUAAGACUUUUUGCCAUAAUAUGAUUAAAUUGCUGCAACUUUUAUUCUGUAUUAAGUAUUGACUUUUAUGUGUAUUCGGAGAAAUCUCUAUUAUCUGCAUGAGGAUUCUUUCCAGAGUAACGUACUUCUGAC